Long non-coding RNA from Etheostoma spectabile (orangethroat darter), 124 nucleotides. RefSeq lists it as uncharacterized. NCBI's taxonomy places the organism in Eukaryota, Metazoa, Chordata, Actinopteri, Perciformes, Percidae. The transcript has 3 exons. The record is from RefSeq and is a predicted model, not a curated record.
GACUAGUAAGUUACGGGUUUGACUGCCGUUCCUGGGCACUUUCACUGGUAGAAGUUGUGAAAACACGAGUUACGGGUUGCCUGGAACACAGCAUAAGAACACAAUGUCUUAAGUUGAGUUUUUG